UCAGAGUGUCCCCGCUAGGGGUAUUUUUUGGCCCCUCUAAAAAUGGUGCAAAAUAAGGUUGGGCAAGUCUGGUGCCAGCACCCG
RNAcentral lists this ribosomal RNA (84 nucleotides) under uncultured archaeon. RNAcentral's name for it is "partial 16S ribosomal RNA". The record is from RNAcentral.